UACGUAGGUGCCAAGCGUUGUCCGGAUUUACUGGGCGUAAAGAGCGCGCAGGCGGUCGUUCAAGUCGAGUGUGAAAGCCCCCGGCUCAACUGGGGAGGGUCAUUCGAUACUGAUCGACUCGAAGGCAGGAGAGGGUAGUGGAAUUCCCGGUGUAGUGGUGAAAUGCGUAGAUAUCGGGAGGAACACCAGUGGCGAAGGCGACUACCUGGCCUGUUCUUGACGCUGAGGCGCGAAAGCUAGGGGAGCAAACGGG
Molecule: ribosomal RNA, 253 nt
Filed under: uncultured bacterium
Lineage: Bacteria
Description: partial 16S ribosomal RNA
Rfam family: Bacterial small subunit ribosomal RNA
Source: RNAcentral